AGAGUUUGAUCAUGGCUCAGGACGAACGCUGGCGGCGCGCCUAACACAUGCAAGUCGAACGAGCCGAGGGGAGCUUGCUCCCCAGAGCUAGUGGCGGACGGGUGAGUAACACGUGAGCAACCUGCCUUUCAGAGGGGGAUAACGUUUGGAAACGAACGCUAAUACCGCAUAACAUACCGGGACCGCAUGAUUCUGGUAUCAAAGGAGCAAUCCGCUGAAAGAUGGGCUCGCGUCCGAUUAGCUAGUUGGCGGGGUAACGGCCCACCAAGGCGACGAUCGGUAGCCGGACUGAGAGGUUGAUCGGCCACAUUGGGACUGAGACACGGCCCAGACUCCUACGGGAGGCAGCA
Molecule: ribosomal RNA, 350 nt
Filed under: uncultured bacterium
Lineage: Bacteria
Description: bacterial SSU rRNA
Rfam family: Bacterial small subunit ribosomal RNA
Source: RNAcentral